CCUACGGGGGGCAGCAGUAGGGAAUCUUUCACAAUGGGCGAAAGCCUGAUGGAGCAACGCCGCGUGCAGGAUGAAGGCCUUCGGGUUGUAAACUGCUUUUAUAAGCGAGAAAUAUGAUGGUAACUUAUGAAUAAGGAUCGGCUAACUACGUGCCAGCAGCCGCGGUCAUACGUAGGAUCCGAGCAUUAUCCGGAGUGACUGGGUGUAAAGAGUUGCGUAGGUGGCAUAAUAAGUAGCUAGUGAAAUCUGGUGGCUCAACCAUUCAGACUAUAAGCUAAACUGUUAAGCUCGAGACCGUUAGGGGUAAGUGGAAUUUCUAGUGUAGGAGUGAAAUCCGUAGAUAUUAGAAGGAACACCAAUAGCGUAGGCAGGUUGCUGGGACGGUUCUGACACUAAGGCACGAAAGCGUAGGGAGCAAACGGGAUUAGAUACCCUUGUAGUC
This 442-nucleotide ribosomal RNA is filed under the name uncultured bacterium. RNAcentral describes it as "partial 16S ribosomal RNA". It matches the Rfam family "Bacterial small subunit ribosomal RNA", at positions 338 to 795 of the family's 1533-position model. The record is from RNAcentral.